CUGAUGGCGAGUGGCGAACGGGUGAGUAAUGCAUCGGAACGUGCCCAAUCGUGGGGGAUAACGCAGCGAAAGCUGUGCUAAUACCGCAUACGAUCUACGGAUGAAAGCGGGGGACCUUCGGGCCUCGCGCGAUUGGAGCGGCCGAUAUCAGAUUAGGUAGUUGGUAGGGUAAAGGCCUACCAAGCCAACGAUCUGUAGCUGGUCUGAGAGGACGACCAGCCACACUGGAACUGAGACACGGUCCAGACUCC
This 251-nucleotide ribosomal RNA is filed under the name uncultured bacterium. RNAcentral's name for it is "partial 16S ribosomal RNA". It matches the Rfam family "Bacterial small subunit ribosomal RNA", at positions 85 to 339 of the family's 1533-position model. The record is from RNAcentral.